Molecule: long non-coding RNA, 2986 nt
Organism: Gallus gallus (chicken)
Lineage: Eukaryota; Metazoa; Chordata; Aves; Galliformes; Phasianidae
Source: Ensembl
CAUGUGGUAUAGCAUAGUUUUGUAGCUUAAACAUACUUGGCAAAUCCUGCUCAAAUUGCCGCCACCCACUACAGACAUAGCCAACUAACAUUGAGCAAAUACUUCCAACUGUCUUCAUAAUAGGGCAGAGGUCAUUCCAAUAGGAAAACAGGGGCUUCAGAUGGUAUUUCCUCCAUGCCAGCUAAUUACAACCAUAUGCUUUCUCUGACAGAAAAGGAGGUAUAUAUAAAAUCUGGAGAGGUCGAAGUUCUCCAUUUUCUGAAUCACAGAUCCCAGAGAGGAUCCAUAUGAUCAAGUUGCAGCACACCACUGAGAAGAGCCUUGCCUCAUCAGCUUAACUCCUGCACUUCAGAUAUUUAUAAACAGUGAUGACAUCCCCUCUCAAACAAAAUAUUUUCUGGACAGAUAUGUUUAUGCUACUUAUCAGUCUCUUGAGGAAACAACAGCAUUUACUUCUGAGGAUCAUGUGGGACCAAGACUGAAGCCCCUUUGAAUAUAACCACUUCAAGCUUCUUCCAAACCCAAGCCAAAGAAAAUGCUUGAACUACAAGCAGCUGGCUUUAAGAACAAACUUUAUUCUGGACUUGAGCUAUCUCAGCAAAGUGUACACCGAAAGCUUUUGCUUAACCUAGGAAACUUUUAUUUUUAAGUGGAAUUGUAGUAGCAUUAAAAGCGUAAAAGUGAGUGAAAUAUAAACAGGUACAGAGAAACUAAGCACUAUGCUGUAGAGUGAAGGGUAAAUAGAUUUCUAGCAGAAUCAGAGUUUAGUUUUUUGGCCAUAGCAGUUUUUCUGCAGCUCUGGAUUACCCUUAAUUUCUCAAAAUAAAUAUUGGGACAGUUGUAAUGGAUAUAGAUAAGUUAAAGGAAAAAAAGUAUUUUCUCUUUGACUGAAAGAACUUUAUAUAGGUGAACAGUUUAGAAAGUUUCACUAAAGAAUUUAAACAUGAAUAUUUGCACUUCUUUAUUAUUCAUCUAAAAAUGAAAGUCCCUGCAUAUUUUUUUUUACCACUUCUAAGAAGAAAGUUUCUGCAUCCACAUCUCAGUCAGAGGCCACAAUUUUUAAUGGCCUCUGAGUCAACAAUUUGAUUCCAUUAAAAUUGUAUGAUAGACUCAGGUGGUGGUAUGAUUACUGUCAUUUUCUGUAAAUGAUGAUGCAGACAGUAACAUGCUCCCUUGUGCUAGCUGAAGAUCCAGCAUAGGAUGUUUCUAUGUCUAUUAUUUCUUUACUAAAAAUAUUUUUUGUUUCUUAGUGUUUUUAAUUUACUGGAUAUAUUCUGUUUGAAUUGAAGUGGGCUGAGGAGAGACUUGCCUUGCUACUGGCAAGGUUCACUAUCAUUCCUGGAUGCAGAUGGGCCAAACCCAGAACUUUGUUUCCAAAUCUUUCAAAUAUCAGGGAGAAAGGAUCAGACGUAAACACUCAGUUCUAAACCCAUCACUGCAGCUUUGAUCCCGGGUCAAAUCCAAAAUUAGAAGGGGCCUCUUUUAUAGCUCUAAUUUGGAUGCAACCAAAACGUUUUCAUCAGAUUGUGCUCCAAGAAGGAAGAAAGUGUAUGCGAGUUUGCCACUGCUAUGCAUAAAGGCAGGCCUGAAAUCCAACCUUAAUUUUGCCUCAAAGUCAAACUUUAAGCCGUACCCCAAAUUAAUGCAGGUUUGAGUCUGAUUUUCUUAUUCUACCUGAAUCCAUUUUUUAUAAAAAUAUGUUUCUGAAAAAUAACUUUUUUUUUGUAAUGCACUAGGUUAUAUCUAAUGGCAAAUACUUCCAAAAAAUGUAUGUUGAAAUGCUGCAUGAGAUGCAUGUAUGUUAAAGUUCAUUCUUACUCAUCCAUAAAGUUCUCAGUUUGAACAAUGGUUAUGUAACUGAAACCAAAAUAAUAAAAAGAAAAGAGAAAAAAAACAAAAGAUAGACAUUUAAGUUUUCUCCACUUUGUUGGGAGAGCUCCAGAAAUCAAAAACAAAUGAGGGAGAAGCAGCAGCAGAGACCACCAGCAAACAGCAGCUGUGAUGUGAAGCAUCAGGACAAAACCACUCACAAGAAGAAAAAGGUCUGCUCCUCUCUAGCAGAAGUUUGUGGAAACAUGAAAGCAAAGACAACUAGCAAACAUUUCCAGCAAAGGAAAGUUUCAAUCCAAAAGCAGUGAAUAACUACAAAAAGAUUAAGAAAAAUCCAGCUUUGUGACAGAAAUGACCAGUAAUGUUUCAUUUAACUUUCUGGAAGGUUAGAUCUGGGAGAAGGGAUGAGGGUAAAACGAACAUAUUUUAAUCACACUGAGUUUUUGUACAGAUAAACAUUUUAGUAGUAUUCCCCAGUGAGAAUACUUUCCAUAAACCAGAAUAAAACUGAGCUAGUCAGGCUUUUUUUUCCUCAGGGUGGUAAAUAAGGAUAAUAAUGGCAGUGCAACCUAAUGGGGGACAGUUUUUCAGUAAUGCUUCUUUUUCUGAAGAAAAGUUAAUCACCUAAAUACAAAAAUAUUUUUAUAAGUCAUAUAUGAACCAAUUGAUAUGUAAGAAUUAUAAAGGAUGGACUAGGAAGAAGAAACUUUUGUAACUGGUGGAAACUGAGGAUAGCUACUAGGAAGCCUUGUCUUGCUUUUUUUUUUUUUUUCCCUAUUUUUAAGUGCAUACAAUUAACUGAUAGAUUAAAGGAACAUUAUUAACAAUACUUGCGUUAAGAGCAUAGAAAGAUGAAUUUGUACAAAAUGAUUUUGCAAAAAAUAAAUUGCCUUCUAAUGAAGCUCAGUCUGCCUUUUCCUAGGCCAAGUUCCAAAUUGAGCAAUCAUAUUUUUGUAAUCACAAAGUUGGAGACUUCAUGAAGUUCUACUAAGUUCCACAAGUAGUAUGUAUGUUAUAUGGAAUGUUUGUAUAAUGGAAUAUCAUGUAACAUUUUCUGAUUAACAAUAAUCACUUAUUUAUCGUUCAACAGAUUGUAGUUUCCCUUCCAGAUUUACCCCAUGAAAAAAAUAAAGGAUCCCUAUGACCUCAAAUUCAG